GAUCGCACAAGUGGCUGCAACCAGGCUCUAGGAGGGAGAAAGAGCGGAUCCCCCAACCCCCUCCGCCCGCCCGCCCCCCGCGAGACGCGGCGCCGCGCAGGGUCCUAGUGCCCGCUGUGCGAAGGGUUCCUGAAUCUGGCCACUUCGCUGGGAGGCCCUGGGCUCCCCAGUGCCACCCGAAGGGCCUGAGGAGGCCAUCUGCAGGAUCAUUCUGGCUGCUGGGCGAAGGUUCAACUAAAGAAUGGCAAGAGUAGAAGCUGGAAAUCUAAUUAGGAGGCUCCUGCAGACCCCAAGCUGGGGGGUGAUGACAGCCAGACUAGAGUGGUGGCAGUUGUCUGAUUCCAGUUAGGUUUUGAAAGUGAAACCAUCAGGACCCACUGAUGGAUCGGAUGUGACACGUGACCAUAAGAGUGAAGUCAAGGAGAAAUCCUGGCAAUUCACACACUGCUGGUGGGAGUGUAGUUAGGCAAAAACUACUUUGGGAAACUAUU
This 491-nucleotide long non-coding RNA is filed under the name Homo sapiens (human). Its description in RNAcentral is "SLC12A5 and MMP9 antisense RNA 1". Lineage: Eukaryota; Metazoa; Chordata; Mammalia; Primates; Hominidae. The record is from RNAcentral.